CCUACGGGGGGCAGCAGUGGGGGAUAUUGCACAAUGGAGGAAACUCUGAUGCAGCGACGCCGCGUGAGGGAAGACGGUCUUCGGAUUGUAAACCUCUGUCUUUGGGGAAGAAAAUGACGGUACCCAAAGAGGAAGCUCCGGCUAACUACGUGCCAGCAGCCGCGGUAAUACGUAGGGAGCGAGCGUUGUCCGGAAUUACUGGGUGUAAAGGGAGCGUAGGCGGGCGAGAAAGUUGAAUGUUAAAUCUACCGGCUUAACUGGUAGCUGCGUUCAAAACUUCUUGUCUUGAGUGAAGUAGAGGCAGGCGGAAUUCCUAGUGUAGCGGUGAAAUGCGUAGAUAUUAGGAGGAACACCAGUGGCGAAGGCGGCCUGCUGGGCUUUAACUGACGCUGAGGCUCGAAAGCGUGGGGAGCAAACAGGAUUAGAUACCCU
This 432-nucleotide ribosomal RNA is filed under the name uncultured bacterium. RNAcentral describes it as "bacterial SSU rRNA". It matches the Rfam family "Bacterial small subunit ribosomal RNA", at positions 338 to 788 of the family's 1533-position model. The record is from RNAcentral.